This 578-nucleotide ribosomal RNA is filed under the name uncultured bacterium. RNAcentral describes it as "bacterial SSU rRNA". It matches the Rfam family "Bacterial small subunit ribosomal RNA", at positions 338 to 916 of the family's 1533-position model. The record is from RNAcentral.
CCUACGGGAGGCAGCAGUGAGGAAUAUUGCGCAAUGGAGGCAACUCUGACGCAGCCAUGCCGCGUGCAGGAAGAAGGCGCUACGCGUUGUAAACUGCUUUUAACCGGGAAGAAACCCCCAGACGUGUCUGGGGUUGACGGUACCGGAGGGAUAAGCACCGGCUAACUUCGUGCCAGCAGCCGCGGUAAUACGAAGGGUGCAAGCGUUAUCCGGAUUCAUUGGGUUUAAAGGGUGCGUAGGUGGGGCGAUAAGUCAGUGGUGAAAUCCUGCGGCUUAACCGUAGAAUUGCCAUUGAUACUGUCGCUCUUGAGUACGCUUGACGUGGGCGGAAUGUGCCGUGUAGCGGUGAAAUGCUUAGAUAUGGCACAGAACACCGAUAGUGAAGACAGCUCACGAAGGCGAAACUGACACUGAGGCACGAAAGCGUGGGGAUCGAACAGGAUUAGAUACCCUGGUAGUCCACGCCGUAAACGAUGAUCACUCGUGAUUGGCGAUAUACGGUCAGUCACCUAGCGAAAGCGUUAAGUGAUCCACCUGGGGAGUACGAUCGCAAGAUUGAAACUCAAAGGAAUUGACGG